CAGUAGCCACGGUAAUACGAACCGUGCGAACGUUAUUCGGAAUCACUGGGCUUAAAGCGCGUGUAGGCGGGCCGCCACGUCGGCUGCUGAAAUCCCCCGGCUCAACCGGGGAAGUGGCACCGAUACGAGCGGCCUCGAGGGGGGUAGGGGGGACUGGAACUUCCGGUGGAGCGGUGAAGUGCGUUGAGAUCGGAAGGAACGCCCAUGGCGAAAGCGAGUCCCUGGACCCUUUCUGACGCUGAGACGCGAAAGCCAGGGGAGCGAACGGGAUUAGAUACCCCCGUAGUCCCUGUCUCUUAUA
This 301-nucleotide ribosomal RNA is filed under the name uncultured bacterium. Its description in RNAcentral is "partial 16S ribosomal RNA". It matches the Rfam family "Bacterial small subunit ribosomal RNA", at positions 509 to 807 of the family's 1533-position model. The record is from RNAcentral.